AACGAACGCUGGCGGCAUGCCUAACACAUGCAAGUCGAACGAGACCUUCGGGUCUAGUGGCGCACGGGUGCGUAACGCGUUGGAACCUGCCCUUAGGUUCGGAAUAACUCCCCGAAAGGGGUGCUAAUACCGGCUAAUGUCUUCGGACCAAAGAUUUAUCGCCUUUGGAUGGGCCCGCGUUGGAUUAGCUAGUUGGUAGGGUAAAAGCCUACCAAGGCGACGAUCCAUAGCUGGUCUGAGAGGAUGAUCAGCCACACUGGGACUGAGACACGGCCCAGACUCCUACGGGAGGCAGCAGUGGGGAAUAUUGGACAAUGGGCGAAAGCCUGAUCCAGCAAUGCCGCGUGAGUGAUGAAGGCCUUAGGGUUGUAAAGCUCUUUUACCCGGGAUGAUAAUGACAGUACCGGGAGAAUAAGCUCCGGCUAACUCCGUG
This 433-nucleotide ribosomal RNA is filed under the name uncultured bacterium. Its description in RNAcentral is "partial 16S ribosomal RNA". It matches the Rfam family "Bacterial small subunit ribosomal RNA", at positions 29 to 507 of the family's 1533-position model. The record is from RNAcentral.